GCAGCCAUGGAAUUUCAGUAGUGGAACACCACAGUCUGAUCUAAAAGCGCAGACCAAUUCCAGACCAGUGUCUCCAGUGCCCAGCUGUGUGUCUAUGAAGAGCAGCAGGUCCAUGGCGGAGCCUUGGAACUUCAGCCGUAGAACUUCACAAUCUGAUCCAAAACCUGGGAAUUGCAGAUCAAUGUCUCCAGUGCCCAGCUGUGUUUCUAUGAAGACUAACCGGUCUAUGGCGGAGCCCUGGAAUUUCAGCAGUGGAACAUCAAUGUAAGAAAUCAUUCAUGUGUAUAUACUAGAGAUGCACCAGAUCCGGAUCCGGCAGGAUAAUAGGGUUUUUCACAGGAUCCGGAUCCGGUUCCAGGAUCCAGGAUCCGGUAGCCGAGGCUUUUCAGUCAAAAUAGUUUGAGCCAACGUGAUAAAAAGGGCCCACGUGUGCGAGUAGGCUAUGUGU
This is a long non-coding RNA of Engraulis encrasicolus (European anchovy), 448 nucleotides long. RefSeq lists it as uncharacterized. Lineage: Eukaryota; Metazoa; Chordata; Actinopteri; Clupeiformes; Engraulidae. The record is from RefSeq and is a predicted model, not a curated record. The transcript is spliced from 3 exons.